ACUGCUCAGUAACACGUGGACAACCUGCCCUUAGGACGGGGAUAAACCCGGGAAACUGGGUAUAAUACCCGAUAGGUCUCGAUUGCUGGAAUGCAUCGAGAUUUAAAGCUCCGGCGCCUAAGGAUGGGUCUGCGGCCUAUCAGGUAGUAGUGGGUGUAGCGUACCUACUAGCCUACGACGGGUACGGGUUGUGAGAGCAAGAGCCCGGAGAUGGAUUCUGAGACACGAAUCCAGGCCCUACGGGGUGCAGCAGGCGCGAAAACUUUACAAUGCUGGCAACAGCGAUAAGGGAACCUCGAGUGCCAGGUUACAAAUCUGGCUGUCGAGAUGCCUAAAAAGCAUUUCAUAGCAAGGGCCGGGCAAGACCGGUGCCAGCCGCCGCGGUAACACCGGCGGCUCGAGUGGUAACCGUUAUUAUUGGGUCUAAAGGGUCUGUAGCCGGCCGGAUAAGUCUCUUGAGAAAUCUGGCAGCUUAACUGUCAGGCUUCCAGGAGAUACUGUCUGGCUCGAGGCCGGGAGAGGUGAGAGGUACUUCAGGGGUAGGGGUGAAAUCUUGUAAUCCUUGAAGGACCACCAGUGGCGAAGGCGUCUCACCAGAACGGACCUGACGGCAAGGGACGAAAGCUAGGGGCACGAACCGGAUUAGAUACCCGGGUAGUCCUAGCCGUAAACGAUACUCGCUAGGUGUCGGCCACGGUGCGACCGUUGUCGGUGCCGUAGGGAAGCCGUGAAGCGAGCCACCUGGGAAGUACGGCCGCAAGGCUGAAACUUAAAGGAAUUGGCGGGGGAGCAC
This 793-nucleotide ribosomal RNA is filed under the name Methanosaeta sp. enrichment culture clone A1487. Its description in RNAcentral is "bacterial SSU rRNA". It matches the Rfam family "Archaeal small subunit ribosomal RNA", at positions 85 to 879 of the family's 1478-position model. The record is from RNAcentral. Lineage: Archaea; Methanobacteriati; Methanobacteriota; Methanomicrobia; Methanotrichales; Methanotrichaceae.